CGAAGCUGUGGGAACAAAACAAAAAUUCAAAAAUUCUGAACCGAAUCACAGAACUACUUAUAAUAAAUCAAUCUAUUACAAACCGUCUCAAAACAGAUUGAAUUCUUCAAUCCCAGUCGCUCCGAUUUGACGAAUUCUUAAGGUUGAUGGCCGGCAAUCCUGGUUACGACGCCGAGAUGAGCGCCUCCACCUUUUUCACAAAAGAUGGACAGAGGCUGCCGCUGCAGCUGCAGCGCAGGCCAGCGGAGCCAUGGACAGAGGCGAUCGGGGGAGGCCGGACCACCAGAGGCGGACUGGGGGUGGGGGAGACGGCGAGGCGGCGGACUAAGGUCUGGGGUAGGAGGCGGACUUGAGAAAGAAACCCUAACUUUCGUGACUUUCAUCUGCCGUUCAAAGAUGAAUGAGUGCAGCAGGGAUUAAUCAAAUUCGUUGAGAGAAUCAC
Molecule: long non-coding RNA, 442 nt
Filed under: Salvia miltiorrhiza (redroot sage)
Lineage: Eukaryota; Viridiplantae; Streptophyta; Magnoliopsida; Lamiales; Lamiaceae
Description: long non-coding RNA (SMIL_LNC011559)
Source: RNAcentral